CGCACAUUGCGCCCUUUGGUAUUCCGAAGGGCAUGCCUGUUCGAGCGUCAUUAUCACCCCUCGAGCCCCCGGGCUUGGUGUUGGACGGCUUGGUUGACGCUCCGGCGUCGACCCCUCCUAAAGACAAUGACGGCGGCCUCGUGGAGCCCCCGGUACAGUGAGUUCUUAACUGAGCACGUAUCGGAUUCUAGGGCGCCCGGGUCCCGGUCUCCUCUCGUCCUCUUGGGCGGGAACCCCCUUUUUAUCAAGGUUGACCUCGGAUCAGGUAGGAAUACCCGCUGAACUUAA
Molecule: unclassified non-coding RNA, 288 nt
Filed under: Chaetothyriales sp.
Lineage: Eukaryota; Fungi; Ascomycota; Eurotiomycetes; Chaetothyriales
Description: partial contains 5.8S ribosomal RNA, internal transcribed spacer 2, and large subunit ribosomal RNA
Source: RNAcentral